UGGGGAAUAUUGGGCAAUGGGCGCAAGCCUGACCCAGCAACGCCGCGUGAAGGAAGAAGGCUUUCGGGUUGUAAACUUCUUUUGACAGGGAAGACGCACGAAGACGGUACCUCGUCGAACUAAGCCCACGGCUAACUACGUGCC
RNAcentral lists this ribosomal RNA (144 nucleotides) under uncultured bacterium. RNAcentral describes it as "partial 16S ribosomal RNA". It matches the Rfam family "Bacterial small subunit ribosomal RNA", at positions 355 to 509 of the family's 1533-position model. The record is from RNAcentral.